Molecule: transfer RNA, 69 nt
Filed under: Tinamus guttatus (white-throated tinamou)
Lineage: Eukaryota; Metazoa; Chordata; Aves; Tinamiformes; Tinamidae
Description: tRNA-Arg
Source: RNAcentral
AGAAAGUUAGUCUAAUGCAAGACAGCCGACUUCGACUCGGCAAAUUACAGCAACUACUGUAACUUUCUC